This 574-nucleotide ribosomal RNA is filed under the name uncultured bacterium. Its description in RNAcentral is "partial 16S ribosomal RNA". It matches the Rfam family "Bacterial small subunit ribosomal RNA", at positions 355 to 914 of the family's 1533-position model. The record is from RNAcentral.
UGGGGAAUAUUGCACAAUGGGCGCAAGCCUGAUGCAGCCAUGCCGCGUGUGUGAAGAAGGCCUUCGGGUUGUAAAGCACUUUCAGCGAGGAGGAAGGUGGUGAACUUAAUACGUUCAUCAAUUGACGUUACUCGCAGAAGAAGCACCGGCUAACUCCGUGCCAGCAGCCGCGGUAAUACGGAGGGUGCAAGCGUUAAUCGGAAUUACUGGGCGUAAAGCGCACGCAGGCGGUUUGUUAAGUCAGAUGUGAAAUCCCCGGGCUCAACCUGGGAACUGCAUUUGAAACUGGCAAGCUAGAGUCUCGUAGAGGGGGGCUAGAAUUUCCAGGUGUAGCGGUGAAAUGCGUAGAGAUCUGGAGGAAUACCGGUGGCGAAGGCGGCCCCCCUGGACGAAGACUGACGCUCAGGUGCGAAAAGCGUGGGGCAGCAAACAGGAUUAGAUACCCUGGUAGUCCACGCUGUAAACGAUGUCGAUUUGGAGGUUGUGCCCUUGAGGCGUGGCUUCCGGAGCUAACGCGUUAAAGUCGACCGCCUGGGGGAGUACGGCCGCAAGGUUAAAACUUAAAUGAAUUGAC